GGACUCAAUUGUCUGGUGCCUAAAGCCAGAACAAAACCUAAGUAUUCAACCUUUGAUUUACACAAUUGCAUUUUGUGUUUAACAAGCUUGUGACCCACAGCUGCUGACAGUAUCCACAGUGCUUGCCUCAUAGCUAGGGCUACAUAACAACAAAUCAUCAACAUUUUGCAAAAAGGACAGAACCAUGACCGGUGGUCCAUGUUUUUUAG
Molecule: non-coding RNA, 209 nt
Organism: Pelobates cultripes (western spadefoot toad)
Lineage: Eukaryota; Metazoa; Chordata; Amphibia; Anura; Pelobatidae
Source: the annotation of a GenBank genome assembly